This 253-nucleotide ribosomal RNA is filed under the name uncultured bacterium. RNAcentral's name for it is "partial 16S ribosomal RNA". It matches the Rfam family "Bacterial small subunit ribosomal RNA", at positions 524 to 776 of the family's 1533-position model. The record is from RNAcentral.
UACGAAGGGGGCUAGCGUUGCUCGGAAUUACUGGGCGUAAAGCGCACGUAGGCGGCUUUCUAAGUCGGGGGUGAAAUCCUGGAGCUCAACUCCAGAACUGCCUUCGAUACUGUAGAGCUUGAGACCGGAAGAGGUAAGUGGAACUGCGAGUGUAGAGGUGAAAUUCGUAGAUAUUCGCAAGAACACCAGUGGCGAAGGCGGCUUACUGGUCCGGUUCUGACGCUGAGGCGCGAAAGCGUGGGGAGCAAACAGG